CCUACGGGAGGCAGCAGUGAGGAAUAUUGGUCAAUGGGCGCAAGCCUGAACCAGCCAAGUCGCGUGAGGGAUGACGGUCCUAUGGAUUGUAAACCUCUUUUGUCGGGGAGCAAGGCCCGCCACGUGUGGCGGGAAGGAGAGUACCCGAAGAAAAAGCAUCGGCUAACUCCGUGCCAGCAGCCGCGGUAAUACGGAGGAUGCGAGCGUUAUCCGGAUUUAUUGGGUUUAAAGGGUGCGUAGGCGGAAGGUUAAGUCAGCGGUCAAAUGUCGGUGCUCAACACCGGCCUGCCGUUGAAACUGGUCUUCUUGAGUGAGCGAGAAGUAUGCGGAAUGCGUGGUGUAGCGGUGAAAUGCAUAGAUAUCACGCAGAACUCCGAUUGCGAAGGCAGCAUACCGGCGCUCAACUGACGCUGAGGCACGAAAGCGUGGGGAUCGAACAGGAUUAGAUACCCCAGUAGUC
RNAcentral lists this ribosomal RNA (460 nucleotides) under uncultured bacterium. Its description in RNAcentral is "partial 16S ribosomal RNA". It matches the Rfam family "Bacterial small subunit ribosomal RNA", at positions 338 to 795 of the family's 1533-position model. The record is from RNAcentral.